RNAcentral lists this ribosomal RNA (117 nucleotides) under Diaphorina citri (Asian citrus psyllid). Lineage: Eukaryota; Metazoa; Arthropoda; Insecta; Hemiptera; Psyllidae. The record is from RNAcentral.
AAAAGCUACACGUUGAAUGCGCCAGUUCCCUUGGAUCACUGAAGUUAAGCAACGUGGGGCAUGGUUAGUAUCAGGAUGGGUGACCUUAUACCAUAUGGACAAUCGCACUGGCUUGUC